ACGGGGGAGGUCUAACUACUCGUCUAGACGGCUCACGUGGUGGUGGUGCUUCCCUAUUCCCAUCCCUAGUCCUAACGCGUCUCUUUGCCGUUUGCCGUUGUGGUUGGGUCGAAGUCCCUUCAAUGCUGUAGGAAAGGCGGGUGCCCUCUGCGCCCUCAAAGCUUUGUCUCAGUGGGACAAACUGACUCCUGUUGGGUGCGCCCUCGAAAUGUGGCCUUUGGUAGUUGAGGGUUGAAUCAGGUUGGCUAAAGAACAAUGUCUGUUGUGGUG
Molecule: long non-coding RNA, 270 nt
Filed under: Lathyrus oleraceus (garden pea)
Lineage: Eukaryota; Viridiplantae; Streptophyta; Magnoliopsida; Fabales; Fabaceae
Description: Pisum sativum (pea) long non-coding RNA (PSAT_LNC028751)
Source: RNAcentral